UGGCAGUGAGGCAGGAAGGAGGAGGAAACGUCAUGAUGAUAAUUGGCUGCUGAAGUAGGAAGAAAUCAAUCAGUGCACACGUUUGUUUCACUUUUCAUCAGGUAGCUCUUGUUCAAAUAUGACAAGAAGUCAUCACCUCAGUCACACAGAA
Molecule: long non-coding RNA, 151 nt
Organism: Passer domesticus (house sparrow)
Lineage: Eukaryota; Metazoa; Chordata; Aves; Passeriformes; Passeridae
Exons: 3
Source: RefSeq, a predicted model, not a curated record